UCCCUGGUGGUCCAGUGAUUAAGACUCUGCACUUCCACUGCAGGGGCAGUGGGUUUGAUCCCUGGCUGGGGAA
This 73-nucleotide transfer RNA is filed under the name Ovis aries (sheep). It matches the Rfam family "tRNA". Rfam says of the family: Transfer RNA (tRNA) molecules are approximately 80 nucleotides in length. Their secondary structure includes four short double-helical elements and three loops (D, anti-codon, and T loops). Further hydrogen bonds mediate the characteristic L-shaped molecular structure. tRNAs have two regions of fundamental functional importance: the anti-codon, which is responsible for specific mRNA codon recognition, and the 3' end, to which the tRNAs corresponding amino acid is attached (by aminoacyl-tRNA synthetases). tRNAs cope with the degeneracy of the genetic code in two manners: having more than one tRNA (with a specific anti-codon) for a particular amino acid; and 'wobble' base-pairing, i.e. permitting non-standard base-pairing at the 3rd anti-codon position. Lineage: Eukaryota; Metazoa; Chordata; Mammalia; Artiodactyla; Bovidae. The record is from Rfam by way of RNAcentral.